UGGCCAGACUCCUACGGGAGGCAGCAGUGGGGAAUAUUGCACAAUGGGGGAAACCCUGAUGCAGCGACGCCGCGUGAGUGAAGAAGUAUUUCGGUAUGUAAAGCUCUAUCAGCAGGGAAGAAGCAGACGGUACCUGACUAAGAAGCCCCGGCUAACUACGUGCCAGCAGCCGCGGUAAUACGUAGGGGGCAAGCGUUAUCCGGAUUUACUGGGUGUAAAGGGAGCGUAGACGGCUAAGCAAGUCUGAAGUGAAAGCCCGGGGCUUAACCCCGGGACUGCUUUGGAAACUGUUAAGCUAGAGUGCUGGAGAGGUAAGUGGAAUUCCUAGUGUAGCGGUGAAAUGCGUAGAUAUUAGGAAGAACACCAGUGGCGAAGGCGGCUUGCUGGACAGUAACUGACGUUGAGGCUCGAAAGCGUGGGGAGCAAACAGGAUUAGAUACCCUUGUAC
RNAcentral lists this ribosomal RNA (448 nucleotides) under uncultured bacterium. Its description in RNAcentral is "bacterial SSU rRNA". It matches the Rfam family "Bacterial small subunit ribosomal RNA", at positions 328 to 793 of the family's 1533-position model. The record is from RNAcentral.